AUGUACGAGUUUGAUCAUGGCUCAGGAUGAACGUUGCGGCGUGCCUAACACAUGCAAGUCGAACGGAAAUAGCAAUAUUUGAGUGGCGCACGGGUGAGUAACACGUAGCUAAUCUACCUCAAAGCGCGGGAUAACGUGUCGAAAGACAGGCUAAUACCGCAUAAGCUCACAAAAAGUAGAGGAUUGUGAGAAAAGGCGCAAGUCACUUUGAGAUGAGGCUGCGGCCCAUCAGCUAGUUGGUGCGGUAAAAGCGCACCAAGGCGACGACGGGUAGGGGACCUGAGAGGGUGACCCCCCACACUGGGACUGAGACACGGCCCAGACUCCUACGGGAGGCAGCAGUGGGGAAUAUUGCACAAUGGGGGAAACCCUGAUGCAGCGACGCCGCGUGAGUGAAGAAGUAUUUCGGUAUGUAAAGCUCUAUCAGCAGGGAAGAAAAUGACGGUACCUGACUAAGAAGCCCCGGCUAACUACGUG
This 477-nucleotide ribosomal RNA is filed under the name uncultured bacterium. Its description in RNAcentral is "bacterial SSU rRNA". It matches the Rfam family "Bacterial small subunit ribosomal RNA", at positions 1 to 507 of the family's 1533-position model. The record is from RNAcentral.